RNAcentral lists this small RNA (28 nucleotides) under Bombyx mori (domestic silkworm). RNAcentral describes it as "ovarian small RNA-21190". The record is from RNAcentral. Lineage: Eukaryota; Metazoa; Arthropoda; Insecta; Lepidoptera; Bombycidae.
UACGUGGCAAAAAAGAUCUUUGGAAACG